This 3087-nucleotide small RNA is filed under the name Arabidopsis thaliana (thale cress). Its description in RNAcentral is "ATSL271030". The record is from RNAcentral. Lineage: Eukaryota; Viridiplantae; Streptophyta; Magnoliopsida; Brassicales; Brassicaceae.
AUGUUUAUUACUGUUUUCUUGAUGGCUAUAGUGGUUUCUUUCAAAUUGCAAUUCACCCUAAUGAUCAAGAAAAAACCACUUUCACCUGCCCCUAUGGAACCUUUGCUUAUAAGAGAAUGCCUUUUGGUUUAUGUAAUGCUCCUGGGACUUUCCAGAGAAGUAUGAUUUCGAUAUUCUCGGAUUUUAUUGAGGAGAUAAUGGAGGUAUUCAUGGACCAUUUUUCAGUUUAUAGAUCCUCUUUCACCUCAUGUUUGUUAAACUUGUGCAGGGUUCUAGAAAGGUGUGAGGAAACCAAUUUGGUACUCAACUGAGAGAAGUGUCACUUCAUGGAUUGGGAGAACUACAAUGCAAGUAGAUUACAUUUUGAGGAACACAAACCACCACCAAGAGUGAGUAAGAGUCUGACUGUUGCGCAAAAGAAUAUUGGUUCGAUGAGUGCUUGGAAUAAGUUUCAAGACAGGAUAUUGGAAAAAUGUGGUUGAUAAGGCUAAGGUUGACGUGAUGAUGCAGUUACAGCCACCCAAAACUGUCAAAGACAUCAGGAGUUUUCUUGGACAUGCAGGAUUUUACAGAAGAUUCAUCAAAGAUUUCUCCAAGUUGGCAAGACCGCUCACCAGACUACUGUGCAAGGAAACCGAGUUUGCAUUUGAUGACGAAUGUUUGACAGCCUUUAAGUUAAUCAAGGAAGCUUUGAUCACUGCACCAAUAGUCCAAGCUCCAAACUGGGACUUCCCAUUCGAGAUCAUGUGCGAUGCUUCAGAUUACGCAGUAGGAGCAGUCUUGGGCCAGCGGAUUGAUAAAAAGCUGCAUGUGAUCUACUACGCGAGCAGAACGAUGGAUGAUGCACAAGUAAGGUAUGCCACUACAGAAAAGGAACUGCUAGCUGUGGUAUUUGCAUUUGAAAAAUUUAGAAGCUACCUAGUGGGUUCUAAAGUGACAGUCUACACUGAUCAUGCUGCUCUGAGGCAUAUAUACGCGAAGAAGGAUACCAAACCUAGGCUGUUGAGAUGGAUCUUAUUGCUCCAAGAGUUUGAUAUGGAGAUAGUUGAUAAGAAGGGAAUUGAAAACGGUGUAGCUGAUCAUCUGUCUAGGAUGAGGAUUGAAGACGAGGUCCCUAUUGACGACUCCAUGCCAGAAGAACAGCUAAUGGCAAUUCAGCAACUUAACGAGAGUGCACAAAUUCGGAAAUCACUCGAUCAAGUAUGUACAAUUGAAGAAAAGCUUCCGUGGUAUGCUGAUCACGUCAACUACUUGGUUAGUGGUGAGGAGCCUCCGAAUCUGUCGAGCUAUGAGAAGAAGAAGUUCUUCAAGGACAUUAACCAUUUCUACUGGGACGAACCUUAUCUCUACACACUCUGCAAAGAUAAGAUCUACAGGAGAUGCGUCUCAGAAGACGAAAUCGAAGGCAUUCUAUUGCAUUGCCAUGGGUCUGCCUAUGGUGGCCACUUUGCAACGUUCAAGACAGUAUCGAAAAUCCUGCAAGCUGGUUUUUGGUGGCCAUCAAUGUUUAAGGAUGCUCAGGAAUUUAUCUCGAAAUGUGAUUCAUGUCAGAGAAGAGGGAACAUCAGCAGAAGGAAUGAGAUGCCUCAGAAUCCGAUAUUAGAAGUUGAGAUCUUUGACGUUUGGGGAAUUGAUUUUAUGGGUCCGUUUCCUUCCUCUUACGGGAACAAGUACAUACUGGUCGCAGUAGACUAUGUAUCAAAAUGGGUGGAAGCCAUAGCCAGCCCCACCAAUGAUGCUAGAGUUGUGCUAAAGCUGUUCAAGACAAUUAUCUUUCCUAGAUUUGGAGUCCCGAGAAUUGUGAUCAGUGACGGAGGGAAACAUUUUAUCAACAAGGUUUUUGAGAACCUUUUGAAGAAGCAUGGAGUAAAGCACAAGGUCGCCACUCCUUAUCAUCCACAGACGAGCGGGCAGGUGGAAAUCUCCAACAGGGAGAUAAAAGCAAUUUUAGAGAAAAUUGUGGGAAGUACAAGGAAAGAUUGGUCUGCUAAGCUCGAUGACGCACUAUGGGCUUACAGAACAGCCUUCAAGACCCCUAUUGGCACGACUCCUUUCAACCUCCUCUAUGGAAAAUCCUGUCAUUUGCCUGUUGAACUCGAGUAUAAAGCCAUGUGGGCAGUUAAACUCCUGAACUUCGACAUUAAAACCGCCGAGGAGAAGCGGUUGAUCAAACUGAACGAUCUCAACGAGAUUCGCUUAGAAGCCUAUGAGAGUUCCAAAAUCUACAAGGAGCGAACCAAGUCUUUCCAUGAUAAGAAGAUAGUCUCAAGAGAUUUUAAGGUUGGUGAUCAAGUGUUGCUGUUCAACUCUCGCCUGAGGCUUUUUCCAGGCAAGCUCAAGUCUAGAUGGUCUGGUCCUUUCUCUGUUACUGCAGUCCGACCUUAUGGUGCUAUCACUCUAGCUGGAAAGAAUGGAGACUUCACAGUCAAUGGCCAGCGGCUCAAGAAAUACAUGAUAGAUCAGUUUAUUCCAGAAGGAACCUCUGUUCCUUUGGAGGAGCCUUUAAACGCCUAAUGAGUAUGAAGAGUCAAGCUAGAGACCUAAAACAAGCUCACUUGGGAGGAAGUCCCAAGCCUAUCUUUGUACAUAUCUUUCAUUUUCCUUAUUGUUUUUGAUGCAUCUUGUUAGUGUUUUCAGGAGAUAAAUAUGAAGAGUUGAUGGAAAUAGAUUCUGGCUUUGAAGGAACAGCAAUACACUCGACCACAAAGCAAUCAAACUCGACAUUGUUCUGGCGUCUUCACACCAGGAAAUCACUCGACCACACCCUAUAAAGACCGAAUGACGAUGUGGUCGAGUAUAGCGAAUGAUGCAGUCACGACUUCUCCACUCCCGUAGCUUACGCGACCGCGGUGCUGGCCGCAGCAGAAGAAGAGAGGUCGAGUAUCAUCACAGCGGUGCUGGCCGCGACGAAGGAGCAGAGGUCGAGUACCCCCAGGGGGAAGCUGAGACACAACAGGGAGAUUCUUCAAUGGCCUAGGAGCAAUCACAGGCAGCUAUUGACGACCAACUCCGCUCCUUCUUCCACUGAGGUAUGCACCUCACUCCACCAUUGUAAUAUACCAUCUCUUGUUUUUUUUUGUUUUUUUU